UACGGAGGGUGCGAGCGUUGUCCGGAAUCACUGGGCGUAAAGGGCGCGUAGGCGGCGCGAGUAGUCAACGGUGAAAGCCCGGGGCUCAACCCCGGGUCGGCCGUCGAUACUCUCGUGCUUGAGCACUGUAGAGGCAGGUGGAAUUCCGGGUGUAGCGGUGAAAUGCAUAGAUAUGACACAGAACACCGAUUGCGAAGGCAGCUGACGAAACUGUAACUGACGCUGAUGCACGAAAGCGUGGGGAUCAAACAGG
Molecule: ribosomal RNA, 253 nt
Filed under: uncultured bacterium
Lineage: Bacteria
Description: partial 16S ribosomal RNA
Rfam family: Bacterial small subunit ribosomal RNA
Source: RNAcentral